ACCCCCAGCCGAAAGCAGGGAAGACGCGGAACUUGGGCUCCGGAGCGGAGGCCACAGACCAGGUCACGGCCCGGGUGGGGGGCUCUGGGCGAAAUUCCGGGUGGCCACCGGGGGUGGCGUAGGGGAAAGCAAAGCCCCGGCUGGUUGCGUUUCCAGUCGGACGACACUCGGGUCCGGGUGCCCGGGCCCGAUCCCUUCGCUGCUCACCGACCCCCUGCACCUCCUGGGUCCUCACAGUCCCAGGCCCGCUCGCCUCCGCCAGUGAGGCGGCCUCUCGGGUCUCCCCGGUCCCACCACUGCGGCCGCCCCUCUCGGGGCGGGGUCGCUGCUCGGCCCGCUCCGUUCCUCGGCCUUCCAGGCGAAGGGCAAGAGCGAGCCCUGGCGGACCGUGCGGAGGGGUGCAGAGACCUGGAUGCGGCCUGCGAUCUCCUUCCCCGCCCCGGCGUUCUCCGCCCACCCGGGGUCCUUCCCGCCAAAACCUCUCACCUACAAGUACAGCGCGUCCUAAAUUUGGCACCGGCAAAGAACUGUGGCUGAGCAAUGCGUUGCUCACAGGCUCCUUUCUUUGUGUCCUUUUCUCUUCUCGUUGCUAUAUAUAAUAAAACCCUCCACGUUUU
This 617-nucleotide long non-coding RNA is filed under the name Homo sapiens (human). Its description in RNAcentral is "non-protein coding lnc-BTG4-4:1". The record is from RNAcentral. Lineage: Eukaryota; Metazoa; Chordata; Mammalia; Primates; Hominidae.